GACGAACGCUGGCGGCGUGCUUAACACAUGCAAGUCGAACGAUGAACCCGGAGCUUGCUCUGGGGGAUUAGUGGCGAACGGGUGAGUAACACGUGAGUAACCUGCCCUGGACUCUGGGAUAAGCGUUGGAAACGACGUCUAAUACCGGAUAGGACCUUGUAUCGCAUGAUCUGGGGUGGAAAGUUUUUUCGGUCGGGGAUGGACUCGCGGCCUAUCAGCUUGUUGGUGGGGUAGUGGCUCACCAAGGCUUGGACGGGUAGCCGGCCUGAGAGGGUGACCGGCCGGACUGGGAGGGAGAGACGGACCAGACAGCUACGGGAGGGAGGAAUGGGGAAGAAUGAACGAAGGACGGGAGGAUGAUGCAGCAACGCCGCGUGCGUGAUGAAGGACUUCGGGUUGUAAGUAGCUUUCAGUAGGGAAGAAGGGCGUCGGCUUGACGGUACCUGCUGAAGAAGGACCGGCUAACUACGUG
This 472-nucleotide ribosomal RNA is filed under the name uncultured bacterium. Its description in RNAcentral is "partial 16S ribosomal RNA". It matches the Rfam family "Bacterial small subunit ribosomal RNA", at positions 28 to 507 of the family's 1533-position model. The record is from RNAcentral.